RNAcentral lists this ribosomal RNA (407 nucleotides) under uncultured bacterium. RNAcentral's name for it is "partial 16S ribosomal RNA". It matches the Rfam family "Bacterial small subunit ribosomal RNA", at positions 30 to 526 of the family's 1533-position model. The record is from RNAcentral.
AUUGAACGCUGGCGGCAGGCCUAACACAUGCAAGUCGAGCGGAGCGGCGGCCGCGUGAGUAAUGCCUAGGAAUCUGCCUGGUAGUGGGGGAUAACGUUCGGAAAUGGGCGCUAACUCCGCAUACUCUCAGUUUAGCCUAGGCCGGAUUAGCUAGUUGGUGGGGUAAAGGCCUACAAGGGCCACGAUCGGUAACUGGCCGGAGAGGAUGAUCAGUCACAUUGGAACUGAGACACGGUCCAUACUCCGACGGGAGGCAGCAGUGGGGAAUAUUGGACAAUGGGCAAAAGCCGGAUGCAGCCAUGCCGCGUGUGUGAAGAAGGUCUUCGGAUUGUAAAGCACUUUAAGUUGGGAGGCGUUACCAGCAGAAUAAGCACCGGCUAACUUCGUGCCAGCCGCCGCGGUAAUUC